CGAGCGGCGGGGCCGUCCCGCGGGGGUGUCGCGCUCCCGGGACGGGGCGUUUGUUUGUUAAUUGAGGCGCUGUUGCGCCUGRCGCUCGCACGGCGCUCCCGCUGCGGCCCUAAUGACUGGAACCGCGGGAACGCGGCGGGGCCCGUCUGCCGGCGGCGGGAAUCGUGUGAUUCGCGGGGAGUCACACCGCGAGAAGCGGGGCCGGGGGGAGCGAGCCCGCCCCGGGGGGCGGUGCGGGGCGCCCGGAGGAAAUGGAACGCGUGAGGCCAAACAGGGAACAAUCCCCGGGUUGCUGGCUGAGCCGACAAGCUCCUGUCGCCGGGUCUGUCGCCGUGUGAGCGAACGCGCGGAUUACCCCGUUAGGAGGAAAUGGGCGAUGAUGGGGCGACAAAUUCGCCCGCUGUGUAAUCACAAUUGAUUUGCAAUUUGCCGAGCGCCGCUCCCGACCCCGGAGCCCACCCCGGGUCACUGGGGACUGGGAAGCUCUCGGAGGCCGUGGCCGCGCUCCUCCGCGUGCUCGGACUAAGGAAUCGAUCCCGCUAUUACAGUGCUGUUUCUGACCAAAAUAAGAACUUUUCCGAAAGUAGCAGGUGGUUAUUUUAGCGCUAAUUUAGUUAACACCAUUAUGAAGUGUUACAAGAUCGAAUAAUGCCCGGGGAGGAAAACGUCUGCCAGAGGACUUAGUGACAGGCAGAGGCUUAAAAAGUCUCCAGUCCUGGAUGCGAUGCUCCAUUUUAAGAAGUGUCUCUUUUGCUGGUGGCUGCUUGAAGCGCACCUUAUUUAAAAAUCUCUACAGAAUGUAAAACUGAGUGAGUCUAGUCAAGAGAGCUGGGCGAGUCUGUAAAUUACCGCUCUGUCAGGAUUCCUCUUGCCUAUUACAAAGUACCUUUUUAUGCUGAACUUAAACUCUACGCUACAGAGACAGCAGAUGUGAGGUGAUGGCUUCCAAAAGCAACACAGAUGCCGUAAAAUUUCCAUUGCUAUAUUUCASCGAGGAAGCUCAGGAGACAUGCUGAAUGCUGCAGUUUAGAAUUACACUGUAACUCCCCUAGAAAUAAGAGAAUACCAAGUUUCCCAACAGUACAUUUGGCUUCAUUUUUGCCGUCAUUCAURUGCUCUUGUUUUCUUACAGCGAGGAAAAGAGAUGCAGCACAAAGAUACUGUGUCUUGAGGCUGUUCAGUAAUGACAGAAUUGGUAAUAUGGAACUUUAUGGCAAUUUAGUAAUGACUGCAUAUCCAAAUUCCCUAAGACCAUGAUAAUUUUUAAAAUUGUCUUUCAGGUAUAUAAAACAGCACAGCUGUGAGGAGGCUGCUUUGCUUUAUGUGACUGAAAAACAGCCUGGUUAGCUCAAGACUGUGGAAUCGGAGCCCAUUGUGUGUUCCUCAUACUUGGAGACUUCUCUGAAGUCCCUAGAAGUCCUGCGAUGAAGGAAUCAAGGGUCAAGUCUUUAAAAUGGCAUGUCAAACCUGAUCGUGGAUGGGCACAGUACCAUGGUGCUACUGUUGUUCWGUGAGACACAAGAGAGACUUCAGGCAACAAGAAAAAAGGCUGAAAGCAAUGUGCUGCAAUAGCUACUCCUGGAGUGCAGUGAGCAGGUGGCAGAGRGGCAGGAGAAGCUGCUGGAAGAGUAUUUUGCUGUCCCUUUGCCAUAAAGGAUGAUGACAAAGUGAUCSGUCAGUGCUGUGGGCUGAGGAUUGCUCCAAUGGUGAAGCUGCASGCUGUGGCCCUGAAUGUGGCUGGAGGAUUUUCUGCUGAACACAAGAACAAACUAUGGUGACAGCAGACAGGUGAACAGAACAUUGAACUCUUACCAGCUCUGAGUAUUGAUGCUGACAGGGUGAAAGAGCCACGACAGAGGAGAUGGGGAAUGCAGGGUUCCCUCUCAUGCAGGGAAACACCUCAUGCUUUGACAGAAUUCAGAAGACUGGAAGACUUUGUCUGAAAACUAAAACUUCUUGAUUUGAAAAAUAUUACAGUCCUCCUCUGACACUACAAGUGGGAUGCCUGCUGGCCCUACUCUGCAAGGCUGAGG
Molecule: long non-coding RNA, 2033 nt
Organism: Malurus melanocephalus (red-backed fairy wren)
Lineage: Eukaryota; Metazoa; Chordata; Aves; Passeriformes; Maluridae
Exons: 4
Source: RefSeq, a predicted model, not a curated record